GAUGAACGCUAGCGAUAGGCCUAACACGUGCAAGUCGAGGGGCAUCACAUGAAGUAGCAAUACGGAUGGUGGCGACCGGCGCACGGGUGAGUAACACGUAUGCAACCUGCCUUCAACAAGGGGAUAACCCGUUGAAAGACGGACUAAUACCCCUAUAACACAGGGGUCCCGCAUGGGAAUAUUUGUUAAAGGACAACCGGUUGAAGAUGGGCAUGCGUUCCAUUAGCUAGUUGGCGGGGUAACGGCCCACCAAGGCAACGAUGGAUAGGGGAACUGAGAGGUUUAUCCCCCACACUGGUACUGAGACACGGACCAGACUCCUACGGGAGGCAGCAGUGAGGAAUAUUGGUCAAUGGACGCAAGUCUGAACCAGCCACGUCGCGUGAAGGAAGACGGCCCCUAGGGUUGUAAACUUCUUUUAACGGGAAUAAAGUGCCCCACGCGUGGGGUUUUGCAUGUACCGUAUGAAUAAGGAUCGGCUAACUCCGUGCCAGCAGCCGC
This 501-nucleotide ribosomal RNA is filed under the name uncultured bacterium. RNAcentral describes it as "bacterial SSU rRNA". It matches the Rfam family "Bacterial small subunit ribosomal RNA", at positions 28 to 518 of the family's 1533-position model. The record is from RNAcentral.